GUGAUGGGCAGAUUAUAAACCCCAAAAGACCUUCAGAUUAGGCAGAAGAAUAGAUGGCAAGAAGAGCAAAAAGCCUAUGAAGAACAAAAUCAGGCUUUCUCAAAAAUCAAUUAUUUUCCCAAAGAAGAAUAGAACCAGUCUCCAAUGGCUAAUCUAUGCGGCUGUCACAACCAUCACAACCUCCUUCCAUCAUGUUAUAUUAUCAGCAGAUAAAACGAAGAGAAUUGGAGAUAUAUGCAGUGAAGCCUCAGAAGCCAGGGAUUGAUCUGAGUGGCUAUCCUGUCCUCUGCUGGAUUCCAGGGCUCCUCGAUUCUGCCUAUAGCCACUGUCACGUUAUGGACUACUUCAAACAAUUGGAGCCAUUUAGCCAAGCGGGAUUCUUGUCCAAACAUAUUUUAUCAUAGCUAUUCUGAAAAGAAAAUCACCUGGAAAACACAAGCCCUGAAAAUCAAUUGAUUGAUUUAUCACUUUUAGAAACAUAAGGCAUGUAAAUAAAUCCCCACAGAUGAGCA
This 512-nucleotide long non-coding RNA is filed under the name Monodelphis domestica (gray short-tailed opossum). Its description in RNAcentral is "lncRNA (ENSMODG00000034630.2)". Lineage: Eukaryota; Metazoa; Chordata; Mammalia; Didelphimorphia; Didelphidae. The record is from RNAcentral.